Molecule: long non-coding RNA, 6564 nt
Filed under: Bemisia tabaci
Lineage: Eukaryota; Metazoa; Arthropoda; Insecta; Hemiptera; Aleyrodidae
Description: lncRNA ENSSSA1NGG007544
Source: RNAcentral
UCACAUGUACAAAUGUCGAAAUUAAAAAGGAGUCGCUCUCAAAAGGCUACUAACCCGGUUUCCCCUUCAAACACCAUUGACAGAUACUUUUCCCCUUCGCCGAAAAAUAUCGCAGUGAAUAGUUUGAAUUCGCCUUUAGAGGAUCUCACUCUCAGCAGUCCCCAAAAAAAGCGUUCCAAACUAACCGGAUCAGUUGAUGCCUCUCCUAGACUUCCACCGUUCCAUUUUUCAUGCCCAAAUGUGAAUAAAAACCAGUCAUCACCUACCAAAAGAAAGCCAUCAACGCCUACAAACUACUCCAAGAAGUUAUCCCCAAAAAAAUCUGUCAGAGCUCUUUUUCCAACUUCAAAAAGAAAAAGAGACGAUGUGGAUGACAGUAGCUCCUCGGCGAGAAGUUUGAAAAUCGACUUGAAUGCCAACGAAGCGAAUGUUUCACCGAUGAAAGUAGAUUGCCGCACCAGUCCCAGGAAAAAAGCAGGUACUCUCAGCACGGAAAAAUUUUUAUGAAGACUGAUGAUGUUCAUCGGGAUGAGCACUCAUCGGAGUCUGAAGAAGAAGUGGAAUUCAAAGGAGGAAAUGCAUCACCAACUAUCGAGUUAAUGGCCACGAAUUCUUGCAGUCAUGCUGUUUCUGAAGCAGUCUCACCAACUCCUACACAAGAAGGGUUAAACUUCUUUAGAGAUGUGGCAUCUUUCAUUUGUAAGAAAUACCACAAUCUGGAGCGACGUUUAAAUUUGAGCUUCCCUAUCUGUGAGAACAAAGAGCUCACUGAAAGAGAACGUGAGAGUGCAGCAGUUGCUGAGUCACUCAUGGCUGUCAUCCAGGUCGACAGUUUUUCUGACGCAGGGAUCGAUCUGACAGGAAACUUCUUAUCUGAAAGAAAAUACCUAAGUUGGCAGCUAUUGCGCCACAUCGUGUAUUUCACAAUGAAUUAUUGCAAUGAUGAAGACUGGAUGAAAUGUUUAAAGAUAUGCUUCAAUCAAUUAGCGCUUCACCCUCCUGUUUCAUGUAACAUGCGUCAAUAUUAUUCAUUAUUACUGGAUCGUGAAGAAGAAAUGAAUUUUUCUAAAAAAACUCAAAAAGGUCUUCUGACCUAUGUAAUGGAAGAACUGUCCGAGAAGUACAAGUACACCUCUCCAGCAAACUGUAAACGAGCAAGAAAGAAAAACCCCAAAUACUCAGAUUAUUCAGAAAUGGAUGAGGAGGUUGAAGAUGAAGAGAAAGGAAAAGGAAAGAAAGGAGCAGUAACACCACAGAAAGGAAAGAAGAAUGAGAAAAAAAUAGUUUGGCUUUCAACUGAUGAUGAUGAAAUCGAUAAUAGUGAAAUCAAUGAGACACUUCAGAAUGCCAUUGAUGAUGUUGGGAGAAAGCAACAAAAGAUUCUUGGUCGUGAAAUCCUGGAAGAAAGGCAGUUGCAAUUGUUUGAUUUUGUGAUAAGAAUUUUACAAGUUGAUUUUUUGGAAUGGAGCAAAAAAUGGGGUCUCAAUUGCCGAGAAAAACUGGUUUCUACACAUGAAUCUCCUCUAGUUGCGACGUUGAUGUGGGAUAGAAAGUUGGGAUUCAGUGCAAUUUCACCUCGCAUCAAAGAAGUCUUCCAUUUUUAUGUUAAUUCUGAACAGCAGCAUCGAAAAUAUUAUGAAAGAUUUAUCACUUUAAUGGUAGAGGUGAUGAGGAUAUUUGAAGGUGAGGUCACCAAACUAGAUGGGGCAUUAUUUAUGAAUUUCCCGCAUAAAGGUGAAAUGCUAGGUGAAAAGUGCAGGAGCUUUGCUGAUGAAUUUUUUCUUCAUUGUUUCGGUUCUCCGACCCACAUGUCUGCAACGGAAGUCCACAAUAUCAAUUUGAAAAUCAAAACCUUGGAGCCCUCUUGGUUGAGACUUCAUCUGUUAAAUCGACUCUUAAACCAAACGUUGGGCUGUAAACUAACUGGCAACUUAUCAAGUGUAAUUGAUGUGUUGAGAGCUUUCUCGUUUGAGGAUAAAAUAUUUGAAGCGUAUUCGUCGUGUGAACAAGAACAACCCUGUGGAUCUCAACAACUGAAAGAAAUAGUCCAAACGCAACGAACUAAACUUAGGAGCCGAAGAGCGAUAAAUAAACCAAAAGAUCCCGUUGGUGAAACUGAUCUGCACAAGGCCUGCAAGAAUAAGAAGGGCUCGAUUUUUUAUAACCGCCCAUUGGAAAAUCUAUUGGCUGUUCCGUCCGUAAAUAUCAUGGUGUGCGAUAAUAAUGGGUGGAUUCCGUUGCAUGAGGCAGCCUAUUCAGGCAACGUUGAAGGCUGCCGCAUUCUGUAUGAUCAUGCAUCUACUUUUGAUCAAAAAUUCCGUCUACUUUCAUGCAGGAGUAAUGAAGGCUCAACACCUCUACUGGAAGCUAUCAGUAAAGACCACAUUGAAGUGGCUGAGUUUCUUCUUAGUGUUGGAGGAUCAUUCCUGCUGCAGCAAAUUGAUAACACAGGAAGGACAGCAUUCGAUGCUUGCAAGUCAGAAGGCAUGCGAGAAGUACUGAAGAGGUACGAGAAUACACCAGUGAGUAAAUACCUAAGUGUGCCAAACCAUAUUUGGGUUAUACUGUUUGCUCUAAUUUCCUCCUACUUUGAAACGUAUGGCACUGAGGUCUGUUUCAAAUACCAAAACCUCACCUUGUCGCCUGCCGAUUUCAGCAAUGUUAGUUUCCCCAAUAAGAAGGGCCAUCUCUCAUUCAUACUAAAUUCUAGUCUUUAUUCAAAAGAUCUCUGUUUGAUAGGCCAGCUGCAAAGCAUAAUUGAAAUGCUGAAGGGAAAUAAUCCUGCAAUCAAGGAAUUGAAAUUGUUGGAAAUAUACUUCCGUGAGGAAUUAUACAUUUACAUCUCGUAAAAAUUUUAGUGGAAACUCCUCUAGUUUAGUUGUAUUUCCUAUUUCAACUGGUGCAUAUCUGUGUCUUCUAACAAGCAAUUUAUUUCUGAACUUUAUUUCCAUGCUUAUACAGAGGUUCCUCCGUACCUCGCCACUAAGCAGCUUUACUUUUGAUUUAUGUCGUUUUUUUAUGAUAAGGACAAUGAAGACUGUUGUGUAUUUUACUGUUUGUUAAUUCCUAGAAAUUAAUUUUGUGAAAUUGUAAUGUGUACUAUCCUGUGAAAUCGAUUUGCGUUUCAUACCUCCCAUCGAUGAGAAAUCAAGAAAACAGAGACUGCAAUGUGGCCUUUUGUUCUUUAUGCUUUGUUUUUGUCGUGUUUAAGUAUGUACCCCUCAAAAGACAGUAUUGCCUUACCGGUGAUCUUUAUAGCUUUUUAUUUCUAGGUCUAGAGGAAAAUUUUCAACACCUUUAACUAUCUGAAAUCAAUUUUCAGUAAAUGUUCCGGUAAUUACUCUUUUCAACAUCUCAUUUAUUUUGUUGACUUCUACAUUAGCUUUGAAAUGUGUACAUAUGUAUGUAUCAUCUGUUCACUUCAAUGAGUUUUCCCCCUCCCCCUUGAAGUUUCUUUCGUUUUCAAGAUUUAUAUUUUUUAAUUGAUGUUACCGCGCUUCAAAAUAUUCUUUUGAAGCUCUCUGUGUUUACUUUUAUUUAAUUUUUGUUCAGAUAAUAAUUUAAGUAAAUGCAGCAAGCCUUGCACUUAUCUAAUCACUCACCCCUUGGCUAAUAUGUGGGAGAAGAGGGGGGGGGGGUUGUAACUUAAUUUAGAGCUCUUUAUUCAGCUGUCAACUUCUAUCUUGUACAGAUUAAUUUUGCCAUGAGUGCCAACAAUGUAUUUUACAUUCCUGGAAUACCUUACAAACAAAAUCUGCAUAUUUCGUGAAUCUUAUUUUUGGAAAUCAUCGGUAAAAAUAGGAGCACAUUUGAAAUGGUAGGCAGAAUUUCCAAGAAGAAGAAGGGGUCCAUACUUUUCCAAACUCGCUAUAUCUUCAUUUCUGAAGUUAGUGAGACGGCCAUGUUUGGCUCAAUUGGAACACUAUUCGAUUUCUCUUUUUCUUUUUUGAACCCCUAAUUGUCAAUGUGUCUUAGUUUGUUGAAAAUAAUUUCCAUUGUAAGAGCUGUUGGGUUGUUUUUUUUUCAGUAUUUAUUUUACUCAUUUUCUAACUCACAUACUCAGGUAUUUUUAUUUAUAAAUAAUUCAUUGCAUCAUAGCUGGUAAAAGGGUUACCAUUUUUUCAGCAACAAGUUUUGUAUGUAGUUAGGGAGAGAUUUUGAAGCCAACAAGGUACUGAUACUUACAAAAGCUACGAACAAUGGACUUCAUUUGAGUGCACGUGCCUUAAAGCAUUAAAAAGUAACAUUGUGUUCAAUUUCUGUGAUUAGAUUUCUGAAAAGAAGUUUCAUGAUCAGAGUUCAAUCUAUCCUUCUUUAGCCUUUCUCUCAAGUGCUCUUGUUAAGUAUCAUUUUGAUUCUCUCGCAAAAUUUAACAUAUCUUUCUGCUCAGGGAGCGCCUCUCUUCUUCUCACCCAUACCUAAUAUUUUUGUCGAACAAAAUAGCAUUCCAGGAAAUGAGCCAGUUGUAACAUUACUAAAUUUUAUAAUCAUUAGUUGCAUUAACUAUUUUCUAGUCCUUGGAAAUUUGAGUAAUUUUUACUGUGCUUAUGAAUGAGAUGGAACAAAAAUAACUCAUUUAAAUAUAAGUAAAUAAAAUACUCAUUAUUCUAAGUUAUUUGAGGUCAUGUUACCAAAUUAGUACGUAUCAUUCUUAUCCGAUCCCCCCUCUCCCCCUAAACGCGUGGCUGAAAGAAUAAAAAAAAAAAAGGUUGAAAAUACAAGGAUGAAUAAAAGAUGUAUAUUGAAGAGACAGAGUUCAUGCUAUACGGUGGGAACAUAGUCUAAGAAAAGAGUAUACCCAUGGAAAUGGGUAACCUCCCCAUCCCCCAGUCCUACAUUUUACCUGAGAAUAGCAUUAAGUACAUAGUUUUUUUUUACUAUAUGAUGAGUGUCUUGAACUCUUAGCUUUGGUCUCAUGAGAACCAACUGUGUUCGUAGUCGUUAAAAUAUAGUUUGGCUAAGAAUAAACUUUAAAUUUUAGAAGCUUGUUUUUUGUUCAUUUUUUGUCGUUUCUAGUAUCACUUAAUUUGCUGUCAGUUUGUUCUUUGUUCACGUUGCAAAUCUAAAUUCCCUUUGAAUUUAGGACCUUAGUGGCAGUGGGGAAGCUUUUUUGUUACCUUGGAGCAAAAUUUUGUGAAAAUGUCAUUAUUUUUUUCACACUAAAACAUCAAUUGUCUUAGUAACUCUAGCCUUAGACCUUUUUUCAUCUGCAGGUUUGUUCUCGCUAGCCUAAGUGAAACAUCUUGUAGAUUGAUGAUGAAAUAUGCAGAGUGAGCCAAGGUAUAGGACUUUGCUCUAAAUAGGUAAAUCAGUGUGAUAUUCGAGGGGAGAAAGAAUGGAUUCCUGUAAAAAACUGGUGUUAUUCUCGGUAUGUUAAACAUUUUUAGUCUUAGUUUCUUAGUGCUGCACAUCUAGCCAGAAAUAAAUAAUCCCUAAAAUAUCAACCGAUGACACUGUACCUCCAUAAAUAUAGAGAUCAACAAAAAACGUCAUUUUCAACGGAGGACUUCAAAAUAAGUAGUAGCAUUUAUCAAUGGUAAAUAAUUGAACUUUGCUAGCUGUAUUGCCAAAACGAGUCUUGAGUUCAACCUAAAACUUUCACUGAAGGAUUUCUCAUCACAAGGUUUCAUGAAUAAGCCACCUAUGGAAAAAAUCCCUGAGCUCCUCCAAAAAAGGGCUCAAUCAGGCCCUAUUUUUACAGGCUCUCUGUAUAAUCCAACUUUAAAAGUUUUCUGGAAAACAAUAUGGUUUUGAAGGCCAAUUUGACCUGUUUCCUUUUUUGGUCAUUCCAAAAAUUGGAAGUCCGAAAUGAUCAAUGUUAUUCUGAACGGCUAUGUAAUUAUAAUCUCCCUCCGACAAGUUGAUUCUCAAAAUGCUAAAUUUAAAAAAAAAAAAUGAAGGUCAAAAUUUGCUCUGAAUUUAGCAUGAGGAAUUGAAUGCCAUUGGUCUAGAGUCUUUCUGAGGCUCCCUUGACUGGUUCUGACCAUUCCCAUUCAUUUGGAUAUUUUUGCACCAUUGCAAUGAACCUUGAGCUGCUAAGUUUUAGAUUCAGAAAACUGGUAUAUUGUGAUAUUUUUAAGAAGAUCACCAAGUUUUAAGCUAAUUAUUGCAUCCCCAUACUCAAGGGGCUUGGAGGACAAGGCGCAUGAUUGCAGUUUUUAGUGUAUUUUCCGAAGAAAAUUCACUAUUUUGAAAAAUUGAGAUAUCCAUGAACUUAACUGAAACUGGUUUGAAAGUAUAUUCUGUGAAAAAUUCACAGGUAAAAUCCAACUUUUAAGCAUCAGAAAGUGAGUGUAAACUUCCUUCUGCCUUAAGGCUCCAUGUUAUUUUGAAACUGUAAACACAUAUUUCUUGAAAUAGGAAAAACUGCACUUAGGUAUUAUGCGCCUUGUCCUCCAAGCCCCUCUUUUGACCUCUAUCCCUAGAACUGAUAAUUUUACCCUUGUUAAAACAUUUCCGAUUUAUUGGCCCAGUUCAAUAACCUUUUAUGUUGUAAAAUGCACCAAUGGUGAAACUGUAAAAUCUCUACCCCCGUUUUAUUUCAUUGAAGGAGAACAAAUCAAC